RNAcentral lists this ribosomal RNA (465 nucleotides) under Vreelandella stevensii. Its description in RNAcentral is "partial 16S ribosomal RNA". It matches the Rfam family "Bacterial small subunit ribosomal RNA", at positions 338 to 795 of the family's 1533-position model. Lineage: Bacteria; Pseudomonadati; Pseudomonadota; Gammaproteobacteria; Oceanospirillales; Halomonadaceae. The record is from RNAcentral.
CCUACGGGUGGCAGCAGUGGGGAAUAUUGGACAAUGGGGGGAACCCUGAUCCAGCCAUGCCGCGUGUGUGAAUAAGGCCCUCGGGUUGUAAAGCACUUUCAGUGAGGAAGAACGCCUGGUGGUUAAUACCCAUCAGGAAAGACAUCACUCACAGAAGAAGCACCGGCUAACUCCGUGCCAGCAGCCGCGGUAAUACGGAGGGUGCGAGCGUUAAUCGGAAUUACUGGGCGUAAAGCGCGCGUAGGUGGCUUGAUAAGCCGGUUGUGAAAGCCCCGGGCUCAACCUGGGAACGGCAUCCGGAACUGUCAAGCUAGAGUGCAGGAGAGGAAGGUAGAAUUCCCGGUGUAGCGGUGAAAUGCGUAGAGAUCGGGAGGAAUACCAGUGGCGAAGGCGGCCUUCUGGACUGACACUGACACUGAGGUGCGAAAGCGUGGGUAGCAAACAGGAUUAGAUACCCUUGUAGUC